GCACCCUUGGUGUAUGGAAACACACAUCUUACAGCUGUUGUUUAUUCGAUGUCUAACUAAUCAAGAUGAGUCCGGGGUUUGAAUCCCCGAGGGUGCA
Non-coding RNA from Mycena olivaceomarginata, 97 nucleotides. Lineage: Eukaryota; Fungi; Basidiomycota; Agaricomycetes; Agaricales; Mycenaceae. The record is from the annotation of a GenBank genome assembly.